RNAcentral lists this long non-coding RNA (214 nucleotides) under Castor canadensis (American beaver). Lineage: Eukaryota; Metazoa; Chordata; Mammalia; Rodentia; Castoridae. The record is from RNAcentral.
GAGCUGUCUGCCUUUUCCAUCUGGGCUGCCACUAAGCUGAGAAGGUCAGGGACACAGUCUAUAGGCAGAACACAUGCCAGACUUUGGAGAGCAGUUUGCACAGGGAGUCUAGCCAUUCUCACAGUCACACUGCACAUGUCACGCUGGGGGGCAGAGCAGCAGGUGUCCUAUCUGGAGGUCUCCUCCUCAAAUGUCAGUUGCCUAGCUACGAGAU